GACGAACGCUGGCGGCGUGCCUAAUACAUGCAAGUCGAACGAGUGGCGGACGGGUGAGUAACGCAUCGGAACGUACCGAGUAAUGGGGGAUAACUGUCCGAAAGGACAGCUAAUACCGCAUAUUAUUCGAGCGGCCGAUGUCUGAUUAGCUGGUUGGCGGGGUAAAGGCCCACCAAGGCGACGAUCAGUAGCGGGUCUGAGAGGAUGAUCCGCCACACUGGGACUGAGACACGGCCCAGACUCCUACGGGAGGCAGCAGUGGGGAAUUUUGGACAAUGGGCGCAAGCCUGAUCCAGCCAUGCCGCGUGUCUGAAGAAGGCCUUCGGGUUGUAAAGCACUUUCAGCGGGGAGGCGUUACCCGCAGAAGAAGCACCGGCUAACUCCGUGCCAGCAGCCGCGGUAAUAC
Molecule: ribosomal RNA, 406 nt
Filed under: uncultured bacterium
Lineage: Bacteria
Description: partial 16S ribosomal RNA
Rfam family: Bacterial small subunit ribosomal RNA
Source: RNAcentral